GAUUGAGAGAGAUAGAAGUAUCAAACACACAGAAAAUAAAAGAAUAAUCCACUUUACAGAGGAGAGAGAGGGAGAAGGCAUCAAAGGAAUAGGAGUUAAAAAGGAUCAGGUUUCCAAAAAAGCAUAACAGCAUGUGGUCAUCAUUCCAUGAGAUUUUCCAAGAAAAUUUUUUGAUUGGGUGGCUCCAACUUCUCCAGCAAACAAGCUUCAAAUGAAAGGAAAACCAAGAGAAUACAAUGAUAAUGCUUUCUGAAUGAAUGAUUAGACAAAAUGAUGCAUGGCAGCCUAGGAAAAAGACUGCUACAUGCAGCUCUGCAUCAGACCUUGAUCCUUAUACUUAGCAGGCCCGUAUUAUGGAUGGAUGACUUGGCAUUCUUAGUUGCCUUUUAUAAUGGGUGCUAAAACAGGACGACACAUUACUCUUUUAGAACUGAUUAUCACAUGAAGAUGUAAUAGGACAACACCAUAUCAAUCAUAAGCCAAUAUCACAUCAUUCAAGAAUAACACCAUAUAAGCCAAUAUCAUAAAUGAUUCAAGAAUAACACUAUAUCAUACAUAAGCCAAAAUCACAAAUCAUUCAAGAAUAUAACUUUUUGAAAGUUCAAAGCAUAAUGGGGCGAGCAAGAGAUUGAUCCUACAUACCACAUAGAAGGCACCAAGCAAC
RNAcentral lists this unclassified non-coding RNA (664 nucleotides) under Hevea brasiliensis (rubber tree). The record is from RNAcentral. Lineage: Eukaryota; Viridiplantae; Streptophyta; Magnoliopsida; Malpighiales; Euphorbiaceae.